This 460-nucleotide ribosomal RNA is filed under the name uncultured bacterium. RNAcentral describes it as "partial 16S ribosomal RNA". It matches the Rfam family "Bacterial small subunit ribosomal RNA", at positions 338 to 795 of the family's 1533-position model. The record is from RNAcentral.
CCUACGGGAGGCUGCAGUGAGGAAUAUUGGUCAAUGGACGCAAGUCUGAACCAGCCAUGUCGCGUGCAGGAAGACGGCUCUAUGAGUUGUAAACUGCUUUUGUACGAGGGUAAAUCCCGAUACGUGUAUCGGGUUGAAAGUAUCGUACGAAUAAGGAUCGGCUAACUCCGUGCCAGCGGCCGCGGUAAUACGGAGGGUGCGAGCGUUAAUCGGAAUUACUGGGCGUAAAGCGCUCGUAGGCGGUAUGUCAAGUCAAGGGUGAAAUCCCCGCGCUCAACGUGGGAACUGCCUUUGAAACUGGCAAACUGGAGUGUGUGAGAGGAUAGUGGAAUUCCAGGUGUAGGAGUGAAAUCCGUAGAUAUCUGGAGGAACAUCAGUGGCGAAGGCGACUAUCUGGCACAUAACUGACGCUGAGGAGCGAAAGCGUGGGUAGCAAACAGGAUUAGAUACCCGAGUAGUC